AUGACUACCUUCACCUCUCAUCUCUAUCGUUCACCUUUCCGUCUCCGUUCCUCUCUUCUCCGUCUUCCAGUUUGUUCAACCUUUUCCUUCUCCUCAUCUCCGAUCUCUAACCCUCUUAGUGACUCAAUCUUCCCUCUCUGUUCGACUUCUCUUCCCGCUCUUUCCAAAUACUCAUUUUCUCCAAUUCCAUUUUUAAUCUCCUCAAAUAUAAAGAAAACUAACGAAACCCUAGGAGUUUCAAUCUGCAAUUAA
Molecule: non-coding RNA, 252 nt
Organism: Vicia faba (fava bean)
Lineage: Eukaryota; Viridiplantae; Streptophyta; Magnoliopsida; Fabales; Fabaceae
Source: the annotation of a GenBank genome assembly